Drosophila elegans is the source of this 1613-nucleotide RNA transcript. RefSeq lists it as uncharacterized. The record is from RefSeq and is a predicted model, not a curated record. NCBI's taxonomy places the organism in Eukaryota, Metazoa, Arthropoda, Insecta, Diptera, Drosophilidae. The transcript is spliced from 3 exons.
CAAAAAAAUAAAGAAAGAAGACAACAACAAAAAAGAGGCAGCAGCGACGUCAGUUUUACAUACAAAAGUCUCCCGCUCGUGUAGGUGUAUGAGUAAUGUGAGUGUGUAAGAUGGCAGGGCGAAAAAGCAAAACAGACAAAAGCAACCAGACCAAAGAGGAGACAGACAAAAAGCAACAAAACACCGCCGCAGCAGCGAAGCUCAGAGCUGCAAAAAACCGAAAAACAACAGAGAAGAAAAGCACGGAAAGAAGAAGAAGAAGGAGGAGAAAAAAGCAACGGGCAGCCAGCCCAAAAGAAAGGCAACGAUAAACAAGCUACCUCUCUUUCGUUCGGGGACUGUCGCUCUCGCUCCAACUUGGAGCCAACGAAAAAGAGUUUGUUGGAGGGGGGAGAACGGGGGAGCAUUAGAAGCAGCGAAAAGCGAAACAAAAGAGCAGCGAAGAGUGCAGAGCAAAAUGCAGGUCCGCAAAACGGAGAGCAGAGAAAUCCACGAUGACCGAAGUCGAGUGGCAGUGAAGGUGUCCAAAGGAGGGUGAGUGGGGCAGGGGGCCAAAGAGAGUGGGAGAGGUAGGCAGGGACCCGGAGUCCGAAGCCCGGCUGUCUAAACCGGAGACCCAGCAAAACUACAACAACUACGACGACCAGGGCAAACAACAACUGCAGCACGAACACGUAACAAAGUGACGAAGUAACCGACCGACAGUGGGGCGAUGGAGGAGGCACAGUGGGACCGACAGUAAUGCACGUUCGGCAGUAAUGUCACAUCUGGCUAGGACUUGGAGAUGAAGCUUGCUAUAAUUUUGCAAAGUAAACUUUUAGCGAUAAUCUAGGUUCGGGAACUCCAAACUAUAAGAACCCCAUGUAGGACCGACAAAGCACGAGAAGCCAAAAGUGCACGGAUCCAGGUCCAGGUUCCAAAUAAACAGAGAUUGUAAACUCCUGAAAAUUGAGUUGAUUUUUGCAAAAAGCGGCUGCACUGAUGGUUGGGUUGCUCGGUCGUUUGGUCGGUUCGUCGUUUGGCCGUUUUGGGUGCUGUGCGUGUGUUUGUGCGAGUGUACGUGCAAUGAACCCGCAACUACAACUGCACACAAUUGCAUCACGCACACUCGCACGACCGCCCACACACGCACACACCAAAGGCACUGGUAGUGGUAGCGCUUCGUAGGCGCAGCGUUCAUUUACUCAGUGCCCCAGACCCCGAUGGCGAGCAGCGACCCACAGCACACCUCCCCCACCAACACCCUACCAUCUCUCACUACCCCACCUACCACCUACCUCCCACCUCCCUGCCGCCACCCACUAGAUAUCUACAUUCAGCGGGCGAGAACGAGACUGCAAAACAAACAAGAUUCGGCAUAAAUCAGAGGUGGUCAACUAUUUACAUAGUGGGGUGUUUGCGUUCGGGAGCGGAUUUGUAUUACUUAAAAUAAGCCAAAGAGCGGCCAUUACAACGUUUCCAAAUUUAACAAAAAAGAUCGGGAGAAAGUUCGCAUUUAGUGUUUACGAUGCUUUUUUGGAUCAUUGCUUAAAAGUUGAUUAAGAGUUACUGACCUUUCGCAAAUUCAAUUCAUACAAAUAAUUUAUAUUUGGACAAAUAUGUAUAAAUUCAUU